UUUUUUUUUUUUUUUGUCUUUUUGCAACAUUUUUCAUUUUAAAUCCUCCAGUUGGUUGCUGUUUUUUUGUUUUUUUGUUUUUUGUUUGUUUGUUUGUUUUGGUCUUUUUGGGGCUGCACCCAUGGCAUAUGGAGGUUCCCAGGCUUGGGGUUGAAUCGGAGCUGAAGAUGCCGGUCUAUACCACAGCCCCAGCAAUGAGGGAUCAGAGCCAUGUCUGCAACCUAUACCACAGCUCACGGCAAGGCUGGAUCCUUAACCCACUGAGUGAGGCCAGGGAUCAAACUGUCAUCCUCGUGGAUACUAGUCGGGCUCAUUAACCACUGAGCCAUGACGGAAACUCUUGGUUCCAUUUUAGACUGAAAUUCUUUCACAUGAUUAGGAUGCAAACAAAUGUGGAAUGCAAUGUUCAGAGAGUGGACGCCAUCCAGGUACCAGGAAAUUGGGGUGCUGCCAGAGUGGGACAGGAGUCAUGGUGUCCUGGGAAAUGAAGGGCUAACCGAAGUGGGGGCACACGACUGGGUGCCUACAGGACAGAAACUUAUAUACCACAGUCUGAAGCUGGGACGCCAAGAUGAAGACUGCUUUCUGGCUGUGGGGCAGAGAAAGGGAGCACAAUUUUCCCCUUCUCACGAGACCAGUCCUGUGGGAUCAGGUCUUAGGACUUCAUUGCACCUUAAAGGUCCUGUCUCCAAAAGCAGGUACAUUGGGGUGAGGGCUUCCACACAUGAACUUGGGGGGAAACCAUUCAGCCCCAGCAACCCUCUUCUCUUCAUUCAUUUCCUUCAGCCACUGGUUAUCUUUGCCUGACACCAGAUCCUCCCAGGAGGGGUGAUGAUGAUGGGGGGUCCCUGCUCAGCCCUGCCUCAGACCUCACUAACUGCAGAGGAUAUCAGAGUCACUGUGAAAGGGAAGGAGGGUGCGAUGGGGUAGCUCAGAGGUACCAAGAAACUUUUAGGAUGAAGGGCGGAAGUCAAGGAGGGCUUCUUGGAAGAGGUGGCAGGGCCUAGUACAGCUCACCACCUGGAGCUGCCAGAUCCCUCAAGAGCAGGGCUCUUCACUCCAGCUUCUUCACUUCCGCUGUGCUCAGCACAUCCUUGUUCUGUCAUACAUAUUGUUGGGAUGCAGUCAAGUGUAGCUCUGAUAUGUAGUGAUCCAAGAUAAAUAUUCACAUGGGGUAUGUGUGCUGGCCUGGCACCAGGAGCAGGCAGUGAACUUGGCCGUUCUUAUUCUCACUGAGUCCCUCCCAAGGCGAGUUCUCUGCCUGUCUCUCCACCAAUCUGUGUAAACACCACAAAUGCCAGCUGCUCUCACCCCGAGGGGUCCCAAUCUCCCUGUUUCAUAAACCACCAACCUGGAGCCAAGAGAGACUGUCCCGCCCAAAGGUGCCCAGCCCAGCUGGCUCGGAGCACAGACAGGGGAGAUGGAAAUGAGAAGGGCCGGGCCUCGCCUGGAACCAUAAAUCUGGAACAUGGCCUGCAGCUUCCUGAUGCAGAUGGGAAAAGGGAAACAGGUUAAAGGCUCAGGUGCAAACACAGCCUCCAUGCUGUACACAGCCCACCCCACACCUACCCCCACCUCUUUAUCCAGCUCCCACACACCUGCAUUCCACACUCUCCCAAAGCCUCCCAAACAAAGACAAGGGCUCAGUUUUCUGCUUCAUUUUGUGUCUGAGAGGUCUCAACCACUUCAAACAGCCAGAAAGCUCCAUUUUCUUGAUGCUUCUUCGCAGCAUGUGUGAGGGGCCAGCACAGAGCGCCCCUCCCAGGCCCUGGAUCUGGAGCAGUACCUCCUCCUCUGGUCCAGCCCAGCUCGGGGCUCCCAACACAGGUGCUGAUGCUGCACCCCCACCAUGGGCCUCACUUUGAAGGAAGAUGGGAAAAUCACCUGAGCAAAUGCUACCACAGGACCAAGGGUGGAAGAGGGGUACAGAAAGAAAUAAUAAAUAAUAAGAAAUAAGAAAUUCUCUCAAGUGCCAGAAAUAAAAGAGAAACUCAGAGCCAGAGGGGAAGCAGAUAAUUCAUUUUGCGGGAGGCACAGACAGAAUCCUGGGGCUCACGGUUGAAACUUCAGUGCCCCUUUCAUGCAGGGCUGAUGCUCCAAACAUUUGGCUACAGACACACAGAAGCACCUGGAAAAUGGUACCGGGACCACUCCAGGCCACAGCCUCAGUGAGGGCCUCCGUGCCCCCCAGCUGGUGUUCAGUGUGCCCCCUCUGCCCUUUCCCACUGCCCAGAGGAGACUCGCCUCCCUCCUCUACCCCCAGCCCUCCCAGCCCUGUCAGGGGAGGAAAGGGCCUCCCCUCAACCCUCACAAGGGAAUCCAGACAUUCAAGUGAAGUUAGCCCUUUGGCCAGUCCCCCAGCCCUUGCCCUGCCUCCACUGAGCCUUCCCCUCCCCCACUGCCCCACACCCACCACUGCUCAUUCCUCCUCAUCUAUUUCCUCUACAGCCCCCAGAAGUCUGGUCAUGCUCUCCCAUCAGGAGAGGUAAAUGGAUGGAUAGCAUAACGCUGUUUUGGAAGUUUUCUGCAUCUGACAGUGACUGCCCCUCCCUCCUCUCUAAGUGCGCCCCCCCACUCCCCCCGCCCCCGCCAUGGUUUUCUUCCUUCCUCUUUCAAAAGUCAUUGUUCUCUGGGAUUUUUAAAAAACUUUAUUUCCCCAGGGAUUUCAUUCACUACCAUGGUGUCAACCAGUCCACAUCAGCCAUGUUUGGAAACCAGUUCUGUAUCUGUCCCCUGAGAUCCAAGCCCACAUGUGUAAUGCCUCUGGGGACCUUGGAGGGAUCCCCAGACACUGAUGGUGCUCAGAUUCUGUGCAGAUCACCUGCCUCCCAGAGCCAACCCCUGCCUCUGCCACAGGCAAUACACUGGCUUAUGCUCAUGAAGUUUGGGGCCACAGGCCUAAGAAUUCAUGUCCUAAUGGGAGCAGCUUUUAACCAUGGCAUGAGGGCUGUUGGGGUGUGAAAAGCCCAGCUCCUCACCUCUGGCCUGGAUGAUUCUGGGGCUUAUCUUUUGCCCUGUUUCCAAAGUUUCCAUGGAAUUCAGCUCCACAGUCACCAGUGACCUUAUUAUCACAACUUUAUCUGCUUCCUCCCCCUCAAUCACUUCUCUCCUAGUUUGCCAUGUUUGCUCAGAUUCUUGGCUCACACUGCUUCUGGGGAAGCCCAAGGUGAGACAUUCCUUACCUGAAAACAUUUAUGCAACUCAGGCCAUUUCCCGGCAUCAGUUCCGCCCCCUGUUUAUCCUAUCUCAGUCCAUGACAUCACCUUUUAUCUAGUCCGAGCCAGAAAUCUGGGUCAUUCUGUCUCCUUCUGUGUCUGGUGGGCUUUUACUUCUUAAUAUUCCUUGAACCCAUGUCUCCUUUCAUCUCCCCUUAAUGCCCUUAGUUAAGACCCUAAUUAUUCCACCAGCUCUUUGUUGUCUUCCUGACUCCAAUCCUGCCCCUCUCCAUCACUGUCCACACUUCCCUGAGACUGUUUAUAAAACGGCAUUGAUUCCUUUAUUUUCUCUGCUUCAAAUAUUCUAAGGCCUCCCUGAUGCCUCAGGAGAAAACCAAAACUGUUGCAAUGACACUAACAGCUCAAGUUCACGUACACCUACCCCUGAUGUUGGCUUUAGCCUGUGGUCUCUCUAUGCUGCCAACCAGAGCACCUACCAAGAGUGAUGGCAACUGAUUGCUCAUCUGUCUCCCAACUAGAUGUUUGCAGGAAACCCCCACAGAGCUCAUUCCAUACUGCACCCAGGCCUCUCAAGAUCACAUGGCUGGUAACGGGAACCAGAUACAUAGUCUUAAAUCGGGGAACAAAAGAAUGAAUGAUUUUGGAGGUAAAGAACUCUUGCAUUUGCUUUGACCCAAUAUCUUCACCCCUUUGAUUUUUCACUUUCAGAGCUCAGCAGGAGGCUAACACGACUCUCCCAAGGUGCUGAAUAUACCCUUUCUUGCUUUCCCGGGCUCCCUUGCAGCUGGUUCUAUGACCAAGAUUCUGCCCACCAGACCUGGCACCCCAGGCAGGUGGGCCGGUGGGACUGAAGGUGGGGCCCAGGGUGAGACGGGCAGGGAAGAGGGUCCCAGUCUCUCUGUCUCUGUGUGUGCAUCUCUCUCUUUUUCUCUUUAUUGCUCUACCUCUGUCCUUGUUAUCUCUUAUUAUCUCCCUUUCUCUCUUUCUCCUCUAAUUCUAUUUAUUUCUCUCUGCCUCAAUCUCUCUUUUUAUUUCUCUCUCUCUGUCUCUCUUUAUUUCCAUGUCUCACUACCUCUCUGUCUCUCUCUGACUCUUUCUCUCUCUGUCUCUCCCUAUGCUUCUGUCUCUCUCUCUCACAGAGGUGCAGUGGAAGCAUCUGGAAGGUGCAUGUUGUGGUGCAGAUGGUGCUCUGCUGGUGGCACCAGCAGCAGUGAAAUCCAGCUCCUGGUGUCUCAACACAGUGGCCGCACCAUGGGGUCCUCCUCAGACCGGUUCUUUGGUGGAGGUUGGAUACUGCUCUGGAAGCUGAGCUUAUAGGCCAUAGUCUCUAGGCAUCCAGGGUUACUGUGCAUGACCCCAUAUCCUCUUAAACUCCUCCCUGGCUUAAUAGACCAGAGCUGCUUCUGAUGCCUGAAAAUAAUACUGACGGAGACAUUAAGAAAGCUGUCAAUAGUAUUACAAUGAAAAUCAAUGAUAAUUUUUUUAAUCUUUAAAAUUGAUGAGAACUUGAGACCUGCUUAGAGAUAAGCUA
This 4707-nucleotide long non-coding RNA is filed under the name Sus scrofa (pig). Its description in RNAcentral is "lncRNA (ENSSSCG00015032217.1)". The record is from RNAcentral. Lineage: Eukaryota; Metazoa; Chordata; Mammalia; Artiodactyla; Suidae.